AACGAACGCUGGCGGCGCGCCUAAUACAUGCAAGUCGAGCGAGAAGACGUAGCAAUACGUUUGUAAAGCGGCGAACGGGUGAGGAAUACAUGGGUAACCUACCCUCGAGUGGGGAAGUAACUAGCCGAAGGUUAGCUAAUACCGCGUACGCUCCUCGGACUUCGGUUCAGGAGGAAAGCGAUACCGUGGGUAUCGCGCUCUUGGAUGGGCGUCAUGUCCUAUCAGCUUGUUGGUGAGGUAACGGCUCACCAAGGCUUCGACGGGUAGCUGGUCUGAGAGGACGAUCAGCCACACUGGCACUGCGACACGGGCCAGACUCCUACGGGAGGCAGCAGUAAGGAAUAUUGCGCAAUGGGCGAAAGCCUGACGCAGCGACGCCGCGUGGGGGAGUGAA
Molecule: ribosomal RNA, 394 nt
Filed under: uncultured bacterium
Lineage: Bacteria
Description: bacterial SSU rRNA
Rfam family: Bacterial small subunit ribosomal RNA
Source: RNAcentral